AUGCUGCGCUAACACAUCGAGCUGCUAACGCGUUAAAGUGCUCAGUUUCGGGCGGUAAAGUUUGAUAAGGAGGAUGGAGGAGGGCUCGGAGUUGUCUCUGACCAUCGCUCAGAUCGUGCAGCGGCUGAAGGGAACUCAUUUACACUCUCAGAUAGAGAGGCAGGCCAAAGAGUGUUUACAUCAACCGGAGAUAAAGCUGGAGUCUCUUAAAGAGGACGUACGCAGUUUUCUGAAAACAUCAGGCUGGGAGAGACAGCUGCAGAAUGCAGUGUACAGAGAACUACACGUGUAAGUUAAACUCUGCUUAAACACAC
Plectropomus leopardus (leopard coralgrouper) is the source of this 314-nucleotide non-coding RNA. The record is from RefSeq and is a predicted model, not a curated record. NCBI's taxonomy places the organism in Eukaryota, Metazoa, Chordata, Actinopteri, Perciformes, Serranidae.